Molecule: ribosomal RNA, 502 nt
Filed under: uncultured cyanobacterium
Lineage: Bacteria; Bacillati; Cyanobacteriota
Description: bacterial SSU rRNA
Rfam family: Bacterial small subunit ribosomal RNA
Source: RNAcentral
ACCUGACGGAGCAAUACCGCGUGAGGGAUGAAGGCCUUUGGGUUGUAAACCUCUUUUAUCAAGGAGGAAGUUCUGACGUGUACUUGAUGAAUAAGCAUCGGCUAACUCCGUGCCAGCAGCCGCGGUAAGACGGAGGAUGCAAGUGUUAUCCGGAAUCACUGGGCGUAAAGCGUCUGUAGGUGGUUUAAAAAGUCCACUGUUAAAGAUUGAAGCUUAACUUCAAAAAUGCCGUGGAAACUUUUAAACUUGAGUAUGAUAGGGGUAGAGGGAAUUUCCAGUGGAGCGGUGAAAUGCGUAGAUAUUGGAAAGACCACCAAUGGCGAAGGCACUCUACUGGGCCAUUACUGACACUGAGAGACGAAAGCUAGGGGAGCAAAUGGGAUUAGAUACCCCAGUAGUCCUAGCUGUAAACGAUGGAUACUAGAUGUUGUGUGUAUUGACCCAUGCAGUAUCGUAGCUAACGCGUUAAGUAUCCCGCCUGGGAAGUAUGCUCGCAAGAGUG